This 129-nucleotide non-coding RNA is filed under the name chicken gut metagenome. RNAcentral describes it as "glmS glucosamine-6-phosphate activated ribozyme". It matches the Rfam family "glmS glucosamine-6-phosphate activated ribozyme aptamer", at positions 6 to 141 of the family's 167-position model. From Rfam's summary of the family: This entry contains a glucosamine-6-phosphate activated ribozyme that is found in the mRNA for GlmS. GlmS is an enzyme that uses fructose-6-phosphate and glutamine to generate glucosamine-6-phosphate. The ribozyme catalyses self cleavage of the glmS mRNA that is thought to regulate GlmS activity. The record is from RNAcentral.
AAUGAUAGCGCCAGACCGCCGCACGGCGGUUGACGAGGAGAGAAGUGAUCGAAUCUUCGGCGGAUGCUUCUCCGGUGCGGGCAAAGACGCCGCAUCGUUAACAGCAGGCAAAUAUGCGGGCAACCGCAA